This 468-nucleotide ribosomal RNA is filed under the name uncultured bacterium. Its description in RNAcentral is "partial 16S ribosomal RNA". It matches the Rfam family "Bacterial small subunit ribosomal RNA", at positions 28 to 507 of the family's 1533-position model. The record is from RNAcentral.
GACGAACGCUGGCGGCGUGCUUAACACAUGCAAGUCGAACGGAAAGGCCCUGCUUUUGUGGGGUGCUCGAGUGGCGAACGGGUGAGUAACACGUGAGUAACCUGCCCUUGACUUUGGGAUAACUUCAGGAAACUGGGGCUAAUACCGGAUAGGAGCUCCUGCUGCAUGGUGGGGGUUGGAAAGUUUCGGCGGUUGGGGAUGGACUCGCGGCUUAUCAGCUUGUUGGUGGGGUAGUGGCUUACCAAGGCUUUGACGGGUAGCCGGCCUGAGAGGGUGACCGGCCACAUUGGGACUGAGGUUAGGCCCAGAAUCCUAAGGGAGGCAGAAGGGGGGAAUAUUGCACAAUGGGCGGAAGCCUGAUGCAGCAACGCCGCGUGCGGGAUGACGGCCUUCGGGUUGUAAACCGCUUUCGCCUGUGACGAAGCGUGAGUGACGGUAAUGGGUAAAGAAGCACCGGCUAACUACGUG